AUGGCCGGCCGUGUAGCAGCGAGGAACGAAUUAGAACAUGACGGUGUCGCCUUCGACGUCGUUGAGCCACCCGAAUUUGUCCAUGUAGGGGUUGGCCGUGUUGGCCGGCGGGUAGUCGUCGACGCAGUCCGCCCACGCGCCCUUGUCGGCCAUGUCGCCCUUCACCUCCCACAUGCAGCUGUUGCACUUGAACCCGGAGCCGAAGGUCACCAUGAGCACCCUGUCCCCUCUCUGAAGCCUCCCCUUGGCCUCCAUGUACGACAGCACGUACCACAGGCUGCUCGCCGACGUGUUCCCCCACCGGUGCAGCGUCAUCCGUGCCGGCUCCACGUCGCCGUCGUCCAGCCCCAGGCUCCGCUUCACCGCCUGGAUCACCGCCGUGCCGCCCGGGUGCAGGCAGAAGUGGUCCACGCCCGACUUAAAGUUGAUCUUCGGGCCCUCGCUUUUCCCGCCGUGCUUGCGCGAGGAGGAGGAGAGCUUCCUCAGCACGAGGCCGGCGGCGAACCGCGCGAGCUCGGUCACAGGGAGGAUGCGCGGCGCCAGCGUCCGGAGGUUGACGGUGAAGGCCCUGACGGCAGCCUUGGGGAGCGCCUUGCUCAGGCUGAUCCCGACGCGCCCGUCCGCGUCCUCCCGCUGCUGCGCGCACGCGUGCGCGUCGUCGUUGGCGGCGAUGUUGGAGCGCACCAGGCAGGUGAGCUCCAUCUUGGCGCGCCCGCGCAGCGCCGGGUCGUUGCUCAGCAGCACCGCCGACCCGCCGCACCGGAACAGCAUGUUGCCCAGCAUCAUCGACUUGUCGGUGCCGGGGUACCAGUUGGGCGCGAUGGACUCCGUCGACACCACCAGCGCCGUCGCGUUCCGCCGCGUCCGCAGCGCGUUGCGCGCCAGGUCCAGCGAGAUCAGCCCGGCGCUGCAUCCCAUCCCGGACAGAUUGUAGGCGGCCACGUCCUGCCGCAUGCCGUACCGGCGCACGAUCCUGGAGACUAUGGACGGCGCGGGGGAGAACAUGGACACGUUCACGACCAGCACGUCGACGUCCCGGGGCUUGAUCAAGCCGCCGCUCUUGGCGAAGAGCUCGGCGAUGGCGUCGUCGAUGAAGGCGUCCAUCUCGUCCACCGCGUCCUGGUGCGUCGGCGUGUCCUCCCGGCUGUCGAGGAUGUUGCGCGGGGAGUACGUCUCCUCGCCGAUGCCGGAGCCGACGAUGACACGGAGGAGGAAGCGGUACUCGGACAGCCCGAGGCGUGGGUUGCGCUCGAUCAGUGCGCCGGCCAUCUCAGUUGUCACCUUGCGGUCGUCGGACGGCUUGUGGCACACGUAGUCCAGGAGGUAGCAUCGCGACUGCCGGCGCCGGAGGACGGCGGCCCAGGCCAGGUAGGCCACCGCGUGCGCAAAGAGGAGCACGGUGAGCAAGAGCAGCAGCUCCAUGCUGGUUGA
This 1431-nucleotide ribosomal RNA is filed under the name Triticum aestivum (bread wheat). RNAcentral describes it as "partial small subunit ribosomal RNA". The record is from RNAcentral. Lineage: Eukaryota; Viridiplantae; Streptophyta; Magnoliopsida; Poales; Poaceae.